GACGAACGCUGGCGGCGUGCCUAAUACAUGCAAGUCGAACGCUGAAGAGAGGAGCUUGCUCUUCUUGGAUGAGUUGCGAACGGGUGAGUAACGCGUAGGUAACCUGCCUUGUAGCGGGGGAUAACUAUUGGAAACGAUAGCUAAUACCGCAUAACAAUGGAUGACACAUGUCAUUUAUUUGAAAGGGGCAAUUGCUCCACUACAAGAUGGACCUGCGUUGUAUUAGCUAGUAGGUGAGGUAAUGGCUCACCUAGGCGACGAUACAUAGCCGACCUGAGAGGGUGAUCGGCCACACUGGGACUGGGACACGGCCCAGACUCCUACGGGAGGCAGCAGUAGGGAAUCUUCGGCAAUGGGGGCAACCCUGACCGAGCAACGCCGCGUGAGUGAAGAAGGUUGUCGGAUCGUAAAGCUCGGUUGUAAGUCAAGAACGGGUGUGAGAGUGGAAAGUUCACACUGUGACGGUAGCUUACCAGAAAGGGACGGCUAACUACGUG
This 497-nucleotide ribosomal RNA is filed under the name uncultured bacterium. Its description in RNAcentral is "partial 16S ribosomal RNA". It matches the Rfam family "Bacterial small subunit ribosomal RNA", at positions 28 to 507 of the family's 1533-position model. The record is from RNAcentral.